AGAGAGAGACAGCGCGCAUAUCAAUAAGCGGAGGAAAAGAAACUAACAAGGAUUCCCCUAGUAACGGCGAGUGAAGCGGGAAGAGCUCAAAUUUGAAAUCUUAAAGGGUUUCCCUUUACGAAUUGUAGUUUAAAGAAGUGUUUUCUGUUGAGGUUUUGGUAAAAGUUCUUUGGAAUAGGACAUCAUAGAGGGUGAGAAUCCCGUAUUUGACCUUUACUUUCAACUUUGUGAUACACUUUCAAAGAGUCGGAUUGUUUGGGAAUGCAGUCCAAAAUGGGUGGUAAAUUUCAUCUAAAGCUAAAUAUUGGCGAGAGACCGAUAGCGAACAAGUACCGUGAGGGAAAGAUGAAAAGAACUUUGAAAAGAGAGUUAAACAGUACGUGAAAUUGUCAAAAGGGAAGCGUUUGACACCAGUGUUGUUUUUCUGAAAAUCAAUUAAAGAACUGUUUAUGCUAAGUUGUUUAGACUUUAUCAGCUAACUGUUUAGUUUUGAGCUUUUCUUUAAUGCACUUUUCAGUUAACAAGUCAACAUCAAUUUCUUUUGCUGUAAAAAAGCUUGAGGAAGGUGGCUUGAGAUUCGUCUUAAGUGUUUAUAGCCUCUUGCCUAUGCAGUCGGAGAGAUUGAGGUCUGCAGCGUAGAUCCUUCGGGGCUAAAUGCAUUUGUGCUAAGUUAUAGCAUUUUAUAGACAACUUGUUGACUAUGAUUUGUCUUGUAGCUUACUCGCUUAUGUUAUUUUACCUACGCUUAGGAUGUUGAAGACUCUACAGAGAUA
Molecule: ribosomal RNA, 773 nt
Filed under: uncultured Neocallimastigales
Lineage: Eukaryota; Fungi; Neocallimastigomycota; Neocallimastigomycetes; Neocallimastigales
Description: partial large subunit ribosomal RNA
Rfam family: Eukaryotic large subunit ribosomal RNA
Source: RNAcentral